CCUACGGGAGGCUGCAGUGGGGAAUAUUGGACAAUGGGGGGAACCCUGAUCCAGCCAUGCCGCGUGUGUGAAGAAGGCCCUCGGGUUGUAAAGCACUUUCAGUGAGGAAGAACGCCUGGUGGUUAAUACCCAUCAGGAAAGACAUCACUCACAGAAGAAGCACCGGCUAACUCCGUGCCAGCAGCCGCGGUAAUACGGAGGGUGCGAGCGUUAAUCGGAAUUACUGGGCGUAAAGCGCGCGUAGGUGGCUUGAUAAGCCGGUUGUGAAAGCCCCGGGCUCAACCUGGGAACGGCAUCCGGAACUGUCAAGCUAGAGUGCAGGAGAGGAAGGUAGAAUUCCCGGUGUAGCGGUGAAAUGCGUAGAGCUCGGGAGGAAUACCAGUGGCGAAGGCGGCCUUCUGGACUGACACUGACACUGAGGUGCGAAAGCGUGGGUAGCAAACAGGAUUAGAUACCCGUGUAGUC
RNAcentral lists this ribosomal RNA (465 nucleotides) under Vreelandella stevensii. Its description in RNAcentral is "partial 16S ribosomal RNA". It matches the Rfam family "Bacterial small subunit ribosomal RNA", at positions 338 to 795 of the family's 1533-position model. The record is from RNAcentral. Lineage: Bacteria; Pseudomonadati; Pseudomonadota; Gammaproteobacteria; Oceanospirillales; Halomonadaceae.